Molecule: ribosomal RNA, 462 nt
Filed under: uncultured bacterium
Lineage: Bacteria
Description: partial 16S ribosomal RNA
Rfam family: Bacterial small subunit ribosomal RNA
Source: RNAcentral
GACGAACGCUGGCGGCGUGCUUAACACAUGCAAGUCGAACGGUGAAGCCCUUCGGGGUUGAUCUGUGGCGAACGGGUGCGUGACACGUGAGCAACCUGCCCCUGGCCCUGGGACAACCACUGGAACCGGUGGCUAAUACCGGAUACGACCCGCCUCUGCCUCGAGUGUGGGUGGAAAGUUUUUCGGCUGGGGAUGGGCUCGCGGCCUAUCAGCUUGUUGGUGAGGUGAAGGCUCACCAAGGCGACGACGGGUAGCCGGCCUGAGAGGGCGACCGGCCACACUGGGACUGAGACACGGCCCAGACUCCUACGGGAGGCAGCAGUGGGGAAUAUUGCACAAUGGGCGAAAGCCUGAUGCAGCGACGCCGCGUGAGGGAUGACGGCCUUCGGGUUGUAAACCGCUUUCGGCUCAGAAGAAGCGAAAGUGACGGUAGGAGCAGAAGAAGCACCGGCUAACUACGUG